Molecule: small nuclear RNA, 181 nt
Filed under: Zea mays
Lineage: Eukaryota; Viridiplantae; Streptophyta; Magnoliopsida; Poales; Poaceae
Description: U2 spliceosomal RNA
Rfam family: U2 spliceosomal RNA
About the family: U2 is a small nuclear RNA (snRNA) component of the spliceosome (involved in pre-mRNA splicing). Complementary binding between U2 snRNA (in an area lying towards the 5' end but 3' to hairpin I) and the branchpoint sequence (BPS) of the intron results the bulging out of an unpaired adenosine, on the BPS, which initiates a nucleophilic attack at the intronic 5' splice site, thus starting the first of two transesterification reactions that mediate splicing.
Source: Rfam by way of RNAcentral
AUACCUUUUACGGUCUUUUAGCUAAGAUAAAGUAUAAUACUUGUUCUUAUCAGUUUAAUAUCUAAUAUGUCGAUCAUAUGUUCACUUUGAUAUUAAAUUUAUUUUUUAUGGGUAUCAAAUAUGAUUGUGUCCCGCUUCUCGUCUAACCUCGCUAGCUGAAGGAGGAAAAAGUGGAUCGAGC